This is a non-coding RNA of Oryctolagus cuniculus (rabbit), 2939 nucleotides long. The record is from RefSeq and is a predicted model, not a curated record. Lineage: Eukaryota; Metazoa; Chordata; Mammalia; Lagomorpha; Leporidae.
CUUAACUCUGGCCUCUCAUUCUCCUGACCACUUGGUCUGGAUUCCUGCACCUCGAUCUCUCAUUCUGUGGUUGGCUGGCUUUGCUAUUGGACCUCUUACAUUCUGGAACCAGUGUUUGUUACUUCAUAUUCCAAAUUUGACUAAAACUCUUGGAGCUUUACCUUUGGACAACUUGACGUAUAACAUCUCCAGCCCAAACUCUCGCCUAUCCUUCAACUCAGAUCAGAUACCUGCCGCAAGAUGAUCCGUAAGACACAAAGAAGAACUCAGUGAAGUAAGAUAGCUCCACCUGGCCACCAAAAAAAUUAAAAUAUGUAAAGAAGAGCAGAGCCUGUGAAAGGGGCAAUAAGAUCCUGAAGGAGAGAAGUCAGUGUGAUGUUGGUGCUCAUUUGAACGAACAUAGCUGUUCCAUCCAUGUUAUUCUGCUCAGCCACCACAACAGAAUACCACAUAAGUCUGGCUUAAAUAGAAAGUUAUUCUCUUACAUUUUGAAGGCUACAAGUUCAAGAUCAAGACACCAGCAUAUGUGGUUUCUGGUGAAGCCUCUCUUGCUCACUUACAGAUGACCAUCUUCUUGAUAUGUGCUCACAUAGCCUUACCAGCAGGCUGUACGCCCCUUGAAAUGUAACUCUGAGAUGGGGAUUAUCAUGUAGUGCUGUGGGAGUGUAAGGUCAGACAGCAACUUGCCCACCUGCUCCGCAGUGUGGAUGGAUGAUUGACGGCUCCAGUUGAACUGAGGUCGACAGCUCCAGCAAACCAGAUAAAUCCUGCUCUUCGGUACAUGUUUACACCUCUACCUUUGAAUUCUUUCACACAUGGAGGGAAGAACCUGAAAUAAGACUAGCCAGGAGCUCCCAGCACCCGCAGCCCACAGCAGUAGAACCUUUAUUAGAGGUUACCUUGGAAUCAACAGCAAAAAGGUGAGGAAGACAGUAAGAGUGGAUAGAAGGAGGAGUUGAGCUGCAAUGUAGUCCCAGAGAAAGUACCAGAAUACCCUGCCAUAAGCUCUGGUGUUGAAGCAGCUCUUCAGAGAUUUGCCAACUUGAAGUGAAGGAAUCCACCUUUACACCCGCAUGUCAAUCAUUAUCAGGUAGAGUGCAGGCUACCCUGGAAAGGAGAAGUUACGGGGACAAGGCAAGUGUUUCCACAACAGCAAAUCUUCAAACAGUCUGACGAUGGAGGGCUGCCUUCCAGAAACAGUCGCAGCAACUGGGGACAUGAGACCUUUAUUUUAAUUUGUGCAGUACACGCAAUGUUUUCCACGGCUUGUAUGCUGGACAUUAUGAAUACAACUUUAUCUACUAUAAGGAUUCUGUUGUCUUUCUGUCAAGAAUAUUUAAAUGUGCUUUGCCAGACAACUAAUUGACUUGCAAAUCACCCUUGCCCUUUUGAAGCGUAUUUUUAAGUUCUGUUUUGAAGAGUCUAUGGACGUGGUUCUCAACUGGGGACAAUUUUUUUUUUUUUUUAAUUUUCACAAUUGGAGACUGCCAGUGGUACUUAGUGGGUAGAGAACAGGGAUAAUACUAAACAUCCUGUAGUGCAUAGUACAGACCCCUCUGCAACAAAGAAUUAUCAGGUCCAAAAUACCAAUGGUGCCAAAUGAGAACUCAAAAGUCCUGAUCCACAGUAGCUUUUCUUCUAGGGAUUAUUAUGUCCUAUUUGUAAGCCAUGACAUUCUGCUUGAGACAAUGGAAUGCCCAAAGUGUUCAAUAUGGUCUUUCUGCUCUGGAUGGUCAGAACUUUAAUAUCUUCUCAUCUUGUGAAACAGCCAGGAGUUCAGGGGAGUUGUUCCUUGCUUGACCAUGCACAGGCUCAUUCAGGGAAACAGUAGUUUAAUAUUUAGUGAGAUGAACCCUUUCACAGAUUUCUGGAGCUUUUUUUCUAUACAGAUGCUGCAUCCCCAGCACUGCCCCCAAAGCCCAGCAACAUCAGCCUCCCCACGCUGCUAUCGCUGUCACUUCAGCAAGACUGGUGUGCUCAAUUUGUCUCCACUUCUCUACACAUCAGUUCAGGAACUGCCUCAGUCAGAGAGAAAGCAAUUGCAAGUCUCACCAAGGUUGUUCCUUCUUUCUUAGAUCGCAUGCCCAUGCUGCUAACAUUUGAGAGCAGAGGAAGGUCAUUCCAACCCCCGACACUUCACCAGCAGCAGAAGCAAAAAUCUCUUACAAUUAGGUUUCAGUGAAUUCACUUCUUCCUCUCUCUUCCUUCUCCACCCUCACUUCCCCUUUACCCUUCCAGAUUGUCUGCGUAUCUAUAUGUGUUUUACACACACAUAAAUCAAACAUUGGUAAAUCUCUGUAAACAUUAAAAAUCUACUCUUAUCAUUAAAUACACUUUGUUCAUUCCCAAUUUCCUAAAUAGCACUCUGAAAAACACCUUCAACUAGUGAAAAAUGUUUAAUUAUCCCCUUAAUAUUUUGCAUUUUGUUUAGAAAGUAGCUCCUCCAUCGUGGAGCCUGCCUGAUUUCCCAAAACUGAAAGAGGACUUAGCAUUAAACACUCACUUGCAUUGACUUUUGUUUGAACGUAAGAUUUGUUAUACACUCAAAAUGUAUCCUCCACAAGCUCCUGCAAGAGCCAUUUUUACUGUCUAGGAAAUAUAUUCACAUGGAUGGCCAUGCCUUCCCCUACUUGCCUAUGAUAAAUAAUUGUUUAAAUGGUGAUGCCAGCAACUUCAUCACCUGUAGGCUCAUAAGAUUGUUCACUUGAACUCCUGAUAUUCUCUGAAACCAUAACACUUAAUGUGAUAGACUUAAUUUUACAUAUAUCUCUGAACCUCCAGUUAGCCACUUUCACAGAUUUAAUCCAAGUUCCUUUUCUCUUGAACAAUUUUGCACUGCCUAGAAUACAACAUUUUGUCAAAUUGCUUACUCUUUUUUAAAAAAUAUUUAUUUAUUUGAAAGUCAGAGUUACACAGAGAGAGGAGAGGCAGAGAGAGAG